AAUAUUGGACAAUGGGCGAAAGCCUGAUCCAGCCAUGCCCCGUGUUUGAAGAAGUUCUCCGGAUUGUACAGCACUUUAAGCUGGGAGGAAGGGCAGUAAGUUCAUACCUUGCUGUUUUGACGUUACCGACAGAAUAAGCACCGGCUAACUUCGUGCCAGCAGCCGCGGUAAUACGGGGGGUGCAAGCGUUAAUCGGAAUUACUGGGCGUAAAGCGCGCGUAGAUGAUUAGUUAAGUUGGAAGUGAAAGCCCCGGGCUUAACCUGGGAAUUGCUUUCAAAACUGACGAGCUAGAGUACGGUAGAGGGUAGUGGAAUUUCCUGUGUAGCGGUGAAAUGCGUAGAUAUAGGAAGGAACAUCAGUGGCGAAGGCGACCACCUGGGCUAAUACUGACACUGAGGUGCGAAAGCGUGGGGAGCAAACAGG
Molecule: ribosomal RNA, 424 nt
Filed under: uncultured bacterium
Lineage: Bacteria
Description: partial 16S ribosomal RNA
Rfam family: Bacterial small subunit ribosomal RNA
Source: RNAcentral